UAAACGAGUCUCGGCAACGAAUAUCUCGGCUCUCGCAUUGAUGAAGAACAUAGUGAAAUGCGAUACAUGGUGUGAAUUGCAGAAUCCCGUGAUCCAUCGAGUAUUUGAGCGUAAGUUGUGCCUGAAGCCAUUAAGCCUAGGGCACGUCUGCCUGGGCGUCACAC
RNAcentral lists this ribosomal RNA (164 nucleotides) under Acaena argentea. RNAcentral describes it as "5.8S ribosomal RNA". It matches the Rfam family "5.8S ribosomal RNA". From Rfam's summary of the family: 5.8S ribosomal RNA (5.8S rRNA) is a component of the large subunit of the eukaryotic ribosome. The record is from RNAcentral. Lineage: Eukaryota; Viridiplantae; Streptophyta; Magnoliopsida; Rosales; Rosaceae.